RNAcentral lists this ribosomal RNA (253 nucleotides) under uncultured bacterium. RNAcentral describes it as "partial 16S ribosomal RNA". It matches the Rfam family "Bacterial small subunit ribosomal RNA", at positions 524 to 776 of the family's 1533-position model. The record is from RNAcentral.
UACGUAGGUGGCAAGCGUUGUCCGGAUUUAUUGGGUUUAAAGGGUGCGUAGGUGGUCAAUUAAGUCAGUGCUGAAAUAUCCCGGCUUAACCGGGAGGGUGGCAUUGAUACUGAUUGACUUGAGUAGAGUUGAGGUAGGCGGAAUUGACGGUGUAGCGGUGAAAUGCUUAGAUAUCGUCAAGAACACCGAUAGCGAAGGCAGCUUACUAAGCUCAAACUGACACUGAUGGACGAAAGUGUGGGGAUCAAACAGG